GAUCCUACGGGAGGCAGCAGUGGGGAAUCUUGCGCAAUGGGCGAAAGCCUGACGCAGCAACGCCGCGUGCGGGAUGAAGGCCUUCGGGCUGUAAACCGCUUUCAGCAGGAACGAAAAUGACGGUACCUGCAGAAGAAGGAGCGGCCAACUACGUGCCAGCAGCCGCGGUGACACGUAGGCUCCAAGCGUUGUCCGGAUUUAUUGGGCGUAAAGAGCUCGUAGGCGGUUGAGUAAGUCGGGUGUGAAAACUCUGGGCUUAACCCGGAGACGCCAUCCGAUACUGCUCUGACUAGAGUUCAGGAGGGGAGUGGGGAAUUCCUAGUGUAGCGGUGAAAUGCGCAGAUAUUAGGAGGAACACCGGUGGCGAAGGCGCCACUCUGGACUGAAACUGACGCUGAGGAGCGAAAGCAUGGGUAGCAAACAGGAUUAGAUACCCUGGUAGUCCAUGCCGUAAACGGUGGGCACUAGGUGUGGGUUCCAACUAACGGGAUCCGCGCCGUCGCUAACGCAUUAAGUGCCCCGCCUGGGGAGUACGGUCGCAAGACUAAAACUCAAAGGAAUUGACGGAAUC
RNAcentral lists this ribosomal RNA (571 nucleotides) under uncultured bacterium. Its description in RNAcentral is "bacterial SSU rRNA". It matches the Rfam family "Bacterial small subunit ribosomal RNA", at positions 335 to 920 of the family's 1533-position model. The record is from RNAcentral.